GGCGAACGGGUGAGUAAUGCAUCGGAACGUGCCCAGUCGUGGGGGAUAACGCAGCGAAAGUUGUGCUAAUACCGCAUACGAUCUAUGGAUGAAAGCGGGGGACCUUCGGGCCUCGCGCGAUUGGAGCGGCCGAUGUUAGAUUAGGUAGUUGGUGGGGUAAAGGCUCACCAAGCCAACGAUCUAUAGCUGGUCUGAGAGGACGACCAGCCACACUGGAACUGAGACACGGUCCAGACUCCUACGGGAGGCAGCAGUGGGGAAUUUUGGACAAUGGGCGAGAGCCUGAUCCAGCAAUACCGCGUGCAGGAAGAAGGCCCUCGGGUUGUAAACUGCUUUUGUACGGAACGAAACGGCGCGCUCUAAUAAAGUGCGCUAAUGACGGUACCGUAAGAAUAAGCACCGGCUAACUACGUGCCAGCAGCCGCGGUAAUACGUAGGGUGCAAGCGUUAAUCGGAAUUACUGGGCGUAAAGCGUGC
RNAcentral lists this ribosomal RNA (477 nucleotides) under uncultured Hydrogenophaga sp. Its description in RNAcentral is "bacterial SSU rRNA". It matches the Rfam family "Bacterial small subunit ribosomal RNA", at positions 97 to 570 of the family's 1533-position model. The record is from RNAcentral. Lineage: Bacteria; Pseudomonadati; Pseudomonadota; Betaproteobacteria; Burkholderiales; Comamonadaceae.